GGAGAAAUGGCUGAGUGGCUGAAAGCGUGGGCUUGCUAAGCCUAUUUUCUGUCAAGAAACGUAGGUUCGAAUCCUAUUUUCUCCG
This 85-nucleotide transfer RNA is filed under the name Prasinococcus sp. CCMP1194. RNAcentral describes it as "tRNA-Ser". It matches the Rfam family "tRNA". From Rfam's summary of the family: Transfer RNA (tRNA) molecules are approximately 80 nucleotides in length. Their secondary structure includes four short double-helical elements and three loops (D, anti-codon, and T loops). Further hydrogen bonds mediate the characteristic L-shaped molecular structure. tRNAs have two regions of fundamental functional importance: the anti-codon, which is responsible for specific mRNA codon recognition, and the 3' end, to which the tRNAs corresponding amino acid is attached (by aminoacyl-tRNA synthetases). tRNAs cope with the degeneracy of the genetic code in two manners: having more than one tRNA (with a specific anti-codon) for a particular amino acid; and 'wobble' base-pairing, i.e. permitting non-standard base-pairing at the 3rd anti-codon position. The record is from RNAcentral. Lineage: Eukaryota; Viridiplantae; Prasinodermophyta; Palmophyllophyceae; Prasinococcales; Prasinococcaceae.